CCAUGUGGGGAAAGAAACAGAAGCAGGAUGAGCAGAGAGAAAAGUUUCCAAUCCUGCAGGGAACUCUAAUGCUGGAACAGUCCUUCAGAGCCCUGCCUUGGAUCCAGAGAGCCAGGUUUUUAUACCCCUGUAUUAGCCUAUCAUUGUGUUUGGGCUGCCCCAGGAAAGGAGCAGGUGGCUCUCUUUAGAAGAUUCCUUUCCCAAAGAUGGCUGACAGCUGAGUGCUGGCAAUCGAACCUCCCCAGCAACUGGGGUAUAAAGCCUUCCCACAGUGGACAAGAUAUCUGAGCAGUGCAGCCCACGGUCAGGACUGAAGUCCCAUCACUUCUCACAACUUCCACUGCAACCAUCUCCAUCAAGCCAACACUGGGUCAUUCCUGGACUAUUGCAAUAGCACCCUGGAUGGCUUCCUGACUUCAGGUUUUGCCUGCAUACACCUCAUCAGCCACAUCACAGAAGGAGUCCGCUUCUUAAAAACGGGAGUCUUUCCAAUGCCCUGAUCACUACUGACAACGCCAUUCAAACCGAAGUGCUUCUGGAGUUUCCACUACGGCUCAACAGGAUUGGCAGUCUCCCUGGAGCCCUGCAACACAGAAAGAAGAUGGGAAAUAAACAAUCAGAGAGCAGAUUAUAUGAAAUCCAAAGGAAGAGAAAAUUUUAUGAAGAAGCCAUUAUCUGAGACUUUUCAUUGGAUCUGAACUAGGUCAAGUCAGGCAAUGUAGUACAGAAGGUGGAUGGAUAAAAAUGGCAACAGAGGAGUUCCUACUGCAAAACAAUGGGAUUGGCAGUGUCUCUGCAGUGCAAGGACACAGGUUUGAUCCCUGCCCUGGUACAGUGGGUUAAAGGAUCUGACAUUGCCACAGCUGCAGGGUAGGUUGCAGCUGUGGCUCAGAUCUGAUGCCUGGUCCAGGAACUCCAUAUGUUGUGGGGCAGCCAAAAAAGAAAAAAGGCCACAAAGUAGUUAAAAGGGUGUUAUUUUGGUGUGUGAGUCAGGGUUGGUGUUUUCUGUGGCCAUACAUCAUGCUGCAGAGAUGUUGGCUCUGGAAUAUGAACAUCACAUUCAAGAUGUGGAAAGAAGCAAGAAGAUAUCUAGACGGAUAAGUCAAAAGUAAAACCAGAAUGGAAUUGUUGAGCAAAAAACAAACUACAGCUGAUUUCACUAGUUUCCUUUGUUUUCACUGAGAGCAAAGGAAAUGCCCCUUACUUGGUUUGGGUAGUGCAUAUGCCCAGGUCACAACAGAAAUGAGUGUGUGCACAGAAUGGCCCAACUCAGGCUCAGAACUAGGCAUUCAAAUAUUGUCCAUACACACGAUCACUGCCUGAGCCAGAAGUCAUGCAGGAGCUGAUAGCUGUUGGAGUGGUGUUGGUGUUGACUACAUGGUGCAUAGUAGUGGAGGUGAUUGUGCAAGUGGCAGGAGUUAUGGUGUUCAUAACCACAGUGGUGGUAGUAGGAAAGUGUUGAUGAUACAGUUCUUAUAAAUAGUAUGCUUGGUAUUGGGAGAUAUGUCCAUAGGGACCCUGAGAAGUCCUGAAAUCAGAGAUAAUAGAGAACUCCUUAUAGAAAUGGCUUUCAGUUAGGAACUGGGCCAGUUUUAAAAGCAACAGAUAGAUUCUGGACAGAUGAUGUGAGGAAACCAGACUGGGUGAAAACUGUUAUGUACAUGGUCACAGAGAGAGACUAAUAUUCCUGAACUCUUUUGACGUACCUAUUACCCCCACAUCUCUAGUCACCUCUAAGAUGGGCUCACUCUUUCCCCUCUUUGCCUCAGAACCCUAAGUUUGGACCUAGCUAAAAGCUUCAAGCGCAUUGAACUUGACCUCAAAAUGAAGGGAGAAAGAAAGGCUGGUCCUGAAAGAAAAUUUCCCUCUGCCUUUUUGGUUUUUGAGAUUUAUAAAAUUGAUGAUGCUCUUCUCCAUUGUAAAGCCCUUCAAUAGCCCCCUCGGGACCUUAGAAAAAUGCUAAUGAGGACCUUGUAUGCUUGGAUUGAAGAGCAGCCAACCAGCAUUGCUGUCUUCCACACACCUGCCUUCCCGUUUGGACUCUGAGUGUCUUGGGAGCAGAACCUACAUAAUCUUUGUUUCUGUGAGUAUCUCAGUGUCCGGCUCUUAUCAGGUACUCACUUAUCAUUCCCUAAAGAAUGAGUGGCUGCCAUAGCUUUAUCACCCAACCGCUACUGUGUUCAAGGAUACUGAUUACAUAAUGAAAGUGAAACAAUGGAGUAGAGAGUAUAAAUCUGCCUUAAAUAAGAUGAGGCUUAGGACACUCCUUUCUGCAUUUAUUUGGUCACCCAGUACCAGGUUUGUCUGAGCUCUAAAUCCUACUGGUCUUUAGAGUGAACACAGACUAAUUCUCAUUCAUUUUUGUUUCUUCUCUGCCAAGUUUACCUGCUAUGUCUAAGCAAAAAUAUCCUUAAAAAUAAUUUAAUGAAACUGCACGCUACACAUACAUACUAUACAGCAUAAUUAUACAUAUUUCCACAUAUGUGCCAAUUCAUCUCUUUUAAAAUUUUAUCUUAUUCUAGGAGUUCCCGUCUUGGCUCAACAGAAAGGAAUCUGACUAGUAUCCAUAAGGAGGAAGAUUUGAUCCCUGGCCUCAUUCAGAAGGUUAAGGAUCUGGUGUUGCCUGUGAGCUGUGGUGUAGGUCACAGACACGGCUCGGAUCUGGUGUUGCUGUG
This 2675-nucleotide long non-coding RNA is filed under the name Sus scrofa (pig). Its description in RNAcentral is "lncRNA (ENSSSCG00030046680.1, ENSSSCG00040000926.1)". Lineage: Eukaryota; Metazoa; Chordata; Mammalia; Artiodactyla; Suidae. The record is from RNAcentral.